Molecule: long non-coding RNA, 433 nt
Organism: Pseudophryne corroboree (corroboree frog)
Lineage: Eukaryota; Metazoa; Chordata; Amphibia; Anura; Myobatrachidae
Exons: 2
Source: RefSeq, a predicted model, not a curated record
UGAGGUGACCUGGGCUCAUCACUCUGCGAACUCGCCAAUAGUGCCAUUGGUGGUGGCUGGGGUAACACUGCGGAAAGUCUUCGCCUGGGUGGGGAUGAUGGAGGUGCGGAAUCCGUCCCAAGACGCCGUGUCUUAGUAGGCCUCCUGGAAUAUGUGACUACAGUGAAGACUUACCUGCAAUCCCAGCCUCAUCCUGACUUGUCUGAGGCCUGUCUGGGCGGCUGGUCUGGGUGACUGUGGAAAAAGUGACCCCAACAUUAUUACCAUGUAUUUUGAAAAAUGACCCACUGAAAAGCAUUAAUGUACUGUAAGCAUCUAUUAGGUAUUGUUGCGUAAAAUUUUUUAGCCUUAAGUGCUUCUAGAUUCAUGUUUUUUAGAGGUUUCUAAAAAUGUACUUGAUGUGGCACACAAUAAAUGGAUAUUAAUUAUUUAA